ACAUCUUCUGCCAACCUAAGAGAUUAGGCGUUCCCUUCGGGGACAGAAUGACAGGUGGUGCAUGGUUGUUGUCAGCUCGUGUCGUGAGAUGUUGGGUUAAGUCCCGCAACGAGCGCAACCCUUAUUGUUAGUUGUCAGCAUUCAGUUGGGCACUCUAGCAAGACUGCCGGUGACAAACCGGAGGAAGGUGGGGAUGACGUCAAAUCAUCAUGCCCCUUAUGACCUGGGCUACACACGUGCUACAAUGGACGGUACAACGAGUUGCGAAACCGCGAGGUCAAGCUAAUCUCUUAAAGCCGUUCUCAGUUCGGAUUGUAGGCUGCAACUCGCCUACAUGAAGUUGGAAUCGCUAGUAAUCGUGGAUCAGCAUGCCACGGUGAAUACGUUCCCGGGCCUUGUACACACCGCCCGUCACACCAUGAGAGUUUGUAACACCCAAAGCCGGUGAGGU
Molecule: ribosomal RNA, 451 nt
Filed under: uncultured Lactobacillus sp.
Lineage: Bacteria; Bacillati; Bacillota; Bacilli; Lactobacillales; Lactobacillaceae
Description: bacterial SSU rRNA
Rfam family: Bacterial small subunit ribosomal RNA
Source: RNAcentral